This 465-nucleotide ribosomal RNA is filed under the name uncultured bacterium. Its description in RNAcentral is "partial 16S ribosomal RNA". It matches the Rfam family "Bacterial small subunit ribosomal RNA", at positions 28 to 507 of the family's 1533-position model. The record is from RNAcentral.
GACGAACGCUGGCGGCGUGCUUAACACAUGCAAGUCGAACGGAAAGGCCCUGCUUGCAGGGUACUCGAGUGGCGAACGGGUGAGUAACACGUGGGUGAUCUGCCCUGCACUUCGGGAUAAGCCUGGGAAACUGGGUCUAAUACCGGAUAGGAGCCAUUUUUAGUGUGAUGGUUGGAAAGUUUUUUCGGUGUAGGAUGAGCUCGCGGCCUAUCAGCUUGUUGGUGGGGUAAUGGCCUACCAAGGCGGCGACGGGUAGCCGGCCUGAGAGGGUGGACGGCCACAUUGGGACUGAGAUACGGCCCAGGCUCCUACGGGUGGCAGCAGUGGGGAAUAUUGCACAAUGGGCGCAAGCCUGAUGCAGCGACGCCGCGUGGGGGAUGACGGCCUUCGGGUUGUAAACUCCUUUCGCUAGGGACGAAGCUUUUUGUGACGGUACCUAGAUAAGAAGCACCGGCUAACUACGUG